RNAcentral lists this ribosomal RNA (565 nucleotides) under uncultured bacterium. Its description in RNAcentral is "bacterial SSU rRNA". It matches the Rfam family "Bacterial small subunit ribosomal RNA", at positions 958 to 1513 of the family's 1533-position model. The record is from RNAcentral.
AACGCGAAGAACCUUACCUGGGUUUGACAUGCUUGGAUGCUAUCCUGGAAACAGGAGAUGCUGCCUUCGGGUGAAACUUGCACAGGUGUUGCAUGGCUGUAGUCAGCUUGUGUCGUGAGAUGUCGGGUUAAGUCCUCUAACGAGCGAAACCCUUGCCGUUAGUUGCCAGCGGGUUAUGCCGGGGACUCUAACGGGACUGCCGGUGUUAAACCGGAGGAAGGUGGGGAGGACGUCAAGUCAUCAUGGCCUUUAUGCUCAGGGCCUCACACGUGCUACAAUGGCGGCAACAAAGCGUCGCAAAACCGUGAGGUCGAGCUAAUCGCAAAAAUGUCGCCCCAGUUCGGAUUGUAGGCUGACAACUCGCUUGCAUGAAGUUGGAAUCGCUAGUAAUCGGGUAUCAGCUAUGACGCGGUGAAUAUGUUCCUGAGCCUUGUACACACCGCCCGUCAAGUGAUGGGAGUUGGGAGUACCCGAAGUCGGGUUGCUAACCCUUCGGGGAGGCGCCUGCCGACGGUAAGCCCGAUGACUGGCACUAAGUAGUAACAAGGUAACUUAAUUAAAAAAU